CACGGAGCCGACCAGGCAGCAGGCUUCCUGCAAAGGCAGCUUGGACGGGCUCCUGCUCUUCCUCAAGGGGCUCGUGGUCUAGGACAGGAGGUUGGAACACACAUCCCCGCAGGGGCCAGGAGGGGAAACUCUGCAAGGGCAUUGAGUGGAGGAGACUGCAAGGAGACAGCCACAGCCCUUCCCAGGGUCAGCAGGUAUCACCUUGAUGGAAUUGAGCCCCACCUUGACAGAUCUUCUGAUUUUCCAAGAAGAAUCUGGGAACCUCUUUUUAAACAUGUUUUUAUUAAGAGACAGGGUCUUGCUUGUUGCCGAGGCUGGCCUUGAAUUCCUGGGCUCAAGUGAUCCUCCUGCCUCAGCUUCCCAGGUAGUUGGGACUACAGGUGGAUGCAAUCGCUUCUGGCUUUGGGAAUCCAUUUUUUAAAGUUGAACUCUCCUGAUGAUGAAGUGUCAGCAACUAAUCCCCGAAAUGUGAAAACCCUGUGCUUUUGAUGGGAACGUAAAAUGAUGCAGUUGCUUCGCAAAACAGCUGGCAGUCCAUCAAACGGUCUAACAUAGGGUUACCCUGCAACCCAGCAACUCCACUCCUAGACAUAUAGCCAACAGAACUGAAAACAUCCAGCCAUCCGCACACGAACUUGUAUAGGAAGGUGCGUAGCAGCCCUCAGUCCUACAGACAAAUGAAUACUGACUGGCAACAACCCAAGUGAGUGUGGAGGUGGGUUCUUCCCCGGUCGAGUCCCCAGGUGAGACUGCGUCCUGGCCAACAAACCAAGUGAGUGUGGAGGCGGGUUCCUCCACGGUUGAGCCUCCAUCUGAGACUGCGUCCUAGCCAACACCUUGAUCUGCAGCCUAGUGAGGCCCAGAGCAGAGGGCCCAGUUGAACUGUGUGAUAAUAAACAUGUGUGGCUGUAAGCUGCUAAACAUGUCAUACUUUGUUACACAGCAACAGAGAGCUGAUACAGUCCUUAAAGUUCUAGAACAGUGCCUGGCCUAGGUAUCAGUGUUCCCUGGCACCACUGUCUGCUGAGCUGUGUGUGUCAGAAACAGAGGGAACCAGGUGCCAGUCCCUCCCCUGGCCUAGCUCUUCCCACUACCAUGACUCUUGUUGGGAGUGAAAGGAUUUUACCCCCUUUCUUUGUCAGCAGCUGGCCUGGACUCCCAGGGGAGCCUGGUCAAUAUUAAUGGACACGCAAGGCUGUGGGGCACACAGGGUUUUGUGAUUAUGGAUUAUCUCCUGCUCAGCACCAUCUUGAAGGUGGAGACAAAAGUUCUCAGCCAGCAAGCUCCAGGUGCACCCCAGGAAGCCGGCACUGCUGAUCUUGAGUAAAACACACGUAGGCCUGAGUCCAAGCUGCCACUCACCUGCUGGCGUGACUAGGAGAAACCAAGCGAGCCACAACUGCUCUGGCUCUCAGCUGAUGUCUCCGGAAAGUGGGCUAGUAACCCCUGCCUUACUUGUCCCGAGUACCUACUAUGUGCCAGGUGCCAGCUGAGCACCUGCCAUCGGCAGCCCAUUUAAUCAUCCCAGCAACCCCACCUGAAUUCUCAGAGGCUCAGAAGUCAAGUCAGCUGCCCAACGUCACCCAGCUGGUCACAGUGAGAGCCGAGAAUGCAGGCCAGCAUGUGUCCUCUGUCAAGUACCUAGUCCCCGCACAGUGUCCAGGGCACAGUAGGUGCUCAGUAAACACUGGCAGAGCCUGGUUCUGCACCCCCACGCCUAGCGGCCGUACAGCAACCCAGGCCGCACUCUGGGGCAAGUAGGUUUGUGCUGCUGGUGAAUGGCAGAGAGGGGAGGUUUGCUGAUGGGCUGAGGCUGAUUUAUCUCAAGAGCAAAGCAGGGAAGAUGAGACAAGGAACACAACCGCAGGAGGGGGAAGAGACGCCAGCAUCCUGACAACACAAAAGAACACGGCGUCGCCUCCUCUUCGCCCCGAGGAAAAAUCAAGCACAGGCACGAAGCCAAGUGUAGGGGGAAAGACAGUCCCUUCCCCAGGGCGCUGGCAGGGUGUGUGCAUUGGCUAGGGAGGGCGGCGGGCACAGCCAGCCCAGGAGCACCUCCCGGGCUGGCCAGAGGCCCCUGCCCCUGCUGGGGACACUCAGGUUGCAGCACCAGUGCUGUCGUCUGCCAGGGAGGGAGAGAAGGGAACAUGGACAGGCCAGCCCUGCCACGGGAGCCCUCUUCUCCCGCUGUCCUGACCCGCUGUGGCCCCGCACCAAAGCCCACCUACGAAGACAUUCUGCUCAACCUGCCCUGAUGGGAUUUCUUGUUCUGUGCUGCAAGCUAGUGUGUCAGAAGCCAAAAACAGUAUUUUACGCCCCUUAAUUCCCUGUAAUAGCUCCAUAAUGGCAAGCAGAGGCUCCAAAUACUGCAAUAAAGGGAAUGAUAAGGCUUCGGGUCAGGGGGAGAUUGGAGAUGCCGAAUGCAG
RNAcentral lists this long non-coding RNA (2426 nucleotides) under Homo sapiens (human). Its description in RNAcentral is "HSALNT0387487". Lineage: Eukaryota; Metazoa; Chordata; Mammalia; Primates; Hominidae. The record is from RNAcentral.